CAUACGGCUCAGUAACGCGUAGUCAACCUACCCUAUGGACGGAAAUAACCUCGGGAAACUGAGAAUAAUAUCCGAUAGAACAUUAUGCCUGGAAUGGUUUAUGUUCCAAAUGAUUUAUCGCCGUAGGAUGGGACUGCGGCCUAUCAGUUUGUUGGUGAGGUAAUGGCCCACCAAGACUAUUACAGGUACGGGCUCUGAGAGGAGUAGCCCGGAGAUGGGUACUGAGACACGGACCCAGGCCCUAUGGGGCGCAGCAGGCGAGAAAACUUUGCAAUGUGCGAAAGCACGACAAGGUUAAUCCGAGUGAUUUCUGCUAAAGAAAUCUUUUGUUAGUCCUAGAAACACUAACGAAUAAGGGGUGGGCAAGUUCUGGUGUCAGCCGCCGCGGUAAAACCAGCACCUCAAGUGGUCAGGAUGAUUAUUGGGCCUAAAGCAUCCGUAGCCGGCUCUGUAAGUCCUCGGUUAAAUCUGUACGCUUAACGUACAGGCUGCCGGGAAUACUGCAUAGCUAGGGAGUGGGAGAGGUAGACGGUACUCGGUAGGAAGGGGUAAAAUCCUUUGAUCUAUUGAUGACCACCUGUGGCGAAGGCGGUCUACCAGAACACGUCCGACGGUGAGGGAUGAAAGCUGGGGGAGCAAACCGGAUUAGAUACCCGGGUAGUCCCAGCUGUAAACUAUGCAAACUCAGUGAUGCAUUGGCUUGUGGCCAAUGCAGUGCUGCAGGGAAGCCGUUAAGUUUGCCGCCUGGGAAGUACGUACGCAAGUAUGAAACUUAAAGGAAUUGGCGGGGGAGCACCACAAGGGGUGAAGCCUGCGGUUCAAUUGGAUUCAACGCCGGG
Molecule: ribosomal RNA, 839 nt
Filed under: uncultured archaeon
Lineage: Archaea
Description: bacterial SSU rRNA
Rfam family: Archaeal small subunit ribosomal RNA
Source: RNAcentral